AUGAUGGCAGGCACCAGUCGGCCCAUAGCAGGCCAAUUAGUCCUUGUCGGCCCACUGCAGGCCUAUCGGCCAACUGCAGGCCGACUGGACUUGAUCUGGUGGCCGACAGCCCAAUCGGCCAGCAGCAAGCAGAUGGGCCACCAGUCGGCCUGCUGUGGGCUGACUAGGCUCAGUCGGCCUGCAGUGGGCCGACGCAAAAAUGUGGUUAUUUUUUGGAACCCUAACAGCAAGGUCUUGGAUCUUGAAGGUCGUACAGGUUUUAAACACCACCAUACAAAAGAGAUAUGCAAAAUGCUUCUUUUGAAGUUUCUCAGCCUCCGGAGAACUGACACCAAAGAGCUUCCAAAAAAGAUUGAUAGGCUUAUGAACCUAGAGACCUUGGACAUAAGAGAGACAGAUGUUGUUGAGUUGCCUAAAACCAUAUGCCAGCUUGAACGGCUAGUUAACAUAAUUGGUGGGAAUAAAAAAAACACGGAUGGUAUUGAGAUUGUUGGGGAGUCGGUGGACUUUCACCAUUUGACCGAGUUGAGGAAACUUGCCAUCUACAAGCUCAAAACAAUGGGAGGUGGUGCAAGUUUUGAAGAAUUAAGCUCCUCCAUCGAGUACCUUGGUGGAUAUUCUCUACACACACUCAUAAUUGUUGAUGAAUCAUCUGAGUUCCUAAAAUCAUUGGAUGCUCUGUCUACGCUUCCAAAAUUUCUGACUGCCGUUGAGUUAUCUGGAAAGAUGGUUAAGUUCCCUGGUUGGAUAAAUCAACUCAAUGCUCUCAGCAAGCUAACCCUUUUAGUGAUAGCUCUUCAGAAAGAUAACUUGGAGAACCUCAGCAAACUAGAGGCGUUGUUUUCUCUCACCUUUUCAUUUAGGGCAAAAAAGCUAGAUCCAUAA
Molecule: ribosomal RNA, 885 nt
Filed under: Triticum aestivum (bread wheat)
Lineage: Eukaryota; Viridiplantae; Streptophyta; Magnoliopsida; Poales; Poaceae
Description: partial small subunit ribosomal RNA
Source: RNAcentral